AACUUUCUUGUAUUUUGGUGGUAAAAAAAGGUAUGAAUUAUCUAAACAGUAAGAAUCAUGUGUUCAAGUUAUCAAAAAGAGAGAGAUGAUGUGUUCAACAAUGAAAAAAGUAGGAGAUUGAGUCCUUAUUUCUUUUCCCCAGUGUGAAUCACGACCAUAUGUGCAAUAUCGAAGGAUCUUUAGAUAUCUGUAGAAAAGUUGUUGUGCUGCCAGAAAUAAAGAAGAAAAUUAAGUUGAUCUAACAAUCAAAUAAAAAUUUACUCAAGUAAACAACACGAACAAAAUACACAGUAGAUAGAAGCUAAUGCAAGCAUUGGACUUCAUUUUUUCUAGGGUCCUUGUAAUAGAAUGAUGUUUCAUACUCUAAUCCACAAUUCAUACAAAAGAACAAAAGUUAUAUGCCUUGUCUCAACAAUCUAACACAAGUAGAAGCCAAGAUCCACCUUUUGCACUAUUUCAAAAACAAGUAAAUAACCUUCAUUCAAAAUAAGUCACCAAACUAAAUGAUAUCAUAUAGUAGUCGCAAAAUUGCAGCAUUGCAAAUUUUGCAAGCAGAUUUCCCGAACAGUGUCUCAGAACGCAAAGUGAGGAAACAAGAAGGUCGUAGAAAUUCAAAUACUAAAUUACUGUGAUAUCAUCUAUUUGCUGGAGGAGUCUACGCCAAUAGAGUGCAGAUACCAACUUCAGGAAAACUGUUUCCUGAUGGUAAUUUACAAAUGAAGAAAUACAAGACUUUUUGUAUGCUAAUCAUUGGUUAAAGCUAAUGGAUGCUAACACCAACAGUAGCAUUUGCUACUCUUUCUGGUGCUUUCAAUUUGAAAAUAAUAAUCAACCCAAUUAUAUUGCUAAUCACCAGUAAUCGUAUGAAUGCAAUCACCUAAGAGAUUAAUUACUCUCUGGGUGCGGGGAUAGAGGAAUAUAUUUUUAAUUUUUUCAUGUUUGGUUCAUCAAAAUUUUUAAAAAACAUUCUCUAGGAAUAUAUUUAGAUUGUUUGGCUAAGCUGGUUCGUAUAACAUAGUUGGAGUUUUAAAUUUGAUGGCCUGAUAAAAUGGGAACCUCGGGAAAAACAUAGAAGAGUGAGAAAGAACCCAGAAAUUCCUGGGUUCUGGUCCGUUAAAGCCGCUGGAGUGGGAUUUUUCCCACCAUAGAGGGACCACCACAGCAGGAAUUUUUCUGCCAAAGCGGGACAGGGCGAGGCAGAACCUCACCCAGCCUCCACUGUUUUCCCUAAAUAUAUCUUUUUCUUUUUUUUUGGACCCCGAAUGGGAUCCAAUCAAAUCCCUACAAUCUUUCCAGUGUUCAGUAAUCAAGAUGGUUUAUAAAAACUUAGGGAUUCACCUUUUGCUAUGGAAAAACAAGAAAUCAAGCAUCCAUGUGCUACAAAACAUAGAAAAUCGAAAGAUAAAAACAAGUUGUCUUAAAUUACAAGCCCAAGAGGGGGAAAGGGAAAGCUGAUCAAGGACUCUCGGACUGGGUGGUGCCAAUUUCUGAAUCGAGGUUCUCUGGGGUGUCAUGCCAUUCCAAGCCUCAUUCAGCAUAGAGAAAUCCCUGAAGUCCGGUGGCUCGAGUCGGGGAAGUUUCUUAUCGGGGGCCACGCAAGUAAAUAGGGUCUUGAUAGUCUUCCACAUCCGAAGCAUCAGACGAUCCCUGACCACACACUUUCUCUUCUCCUUUCGCAGCUGGCGGUGGAGCAUUUCGACCUCCAAGGCAGUGCUGGGUGGAACCGGAGUGAAUUCAGUAUAGGCACUCCCAAUCCUCUCCCGGACAGCCUCUAAGUCUUCCUCAACCCGUGCACCUGAGAGUGGGUCCUCGUCUUCCGAAUCCUCGGCCGCCUUGCUGCUGCUAAUCUUGCUUAUCCUCCUCCUCCUCCUCUUACUCCUAGAAGUGGAACCUGACUUGACCAAAAGAGGGUGAAGGGGGGGAUCCAUGGGAAGUACCUCAUCAGCAUCAAAGAGCGGCACUCCCGCUCGCUUGCACAGCGCAAUAAUGAGUCCUAGAAAGAAGAAGGCCUUCUUGUUGCCCCGAUAAAACAUCUUCCAUUCAGAGAUGAUCUGUGCUCCCACAUUUAUCUGGAUGCCCUGUAUAGCACACGCCAUCACCAUAACCCAGGGAAAGGUCACGUCGGUGUGGUUGCCCGACGGGCGGAUCCUCCUAGUCACCAAGUGAAGCCAUCUCUUAGCAUCGGGUGACCAAUCUGUGUUAAUAAUACCCUCUGCAGUAGCCCAGUAUACCUGAUCCCAGUGCGUGGCCUCAAACAGAGUAUCCCUCAACCACUCUAGAUCCAUCUUCCUUAGCUUGGCCUCAAACUCCGCGUUUGAGGCAUCGGGUACGUCUAGUACCUCAUUAAUAGUAGUAGCAUUCAAGGGGAUGUCGACUCCCCGGAUACGAAUGAAGGGUAAUUGUCAUCCCAGCGGACGGUAGGGAGGAUGGCAUAAAACUCUCUCACCCAAGUGGAACAUGCAUCUGGGGGAGCCUCAGUCAACUGAAUCCACCCGAACUCUACCAAUCGAGCAUAGAAUGCAGGCGCCUUCUCCUUUAGCUUAUGCAGCACGAACCCUCUCUCGUAACAAAACCCAAUGUUGCGAUAGUCGUGAUACUUUUCCCGACUCGCGGCAUCGGGGAAUUGGAUGAAGGGUAGGUAUUCUUCAUUUUGAUCUGCCAUUUAGAAGCUUGCAAUAAGUUGAAGACAAGUUAGAACAAUAUAGGACAGUUGGGGCUAAAACAAAAAGAGAGAAAAGUUGGUGUAAGAGUGCAGGCCACUGGUCUGGCACAUCCCGUCAUAGCGGCUAAAAUCCCGCCACAGCGGGAUGAUAAAGGCCGCCACAGCGGGAUGAAAGCCACCAUAGCGGGAUGAAGGCCGCCACAGCGGCCUUCAUCUGGGACGAACACCAAGCGUGACAAUGGCGUCUUUUCGUCCCAAAACCCCCAUUUUCGUCAGAAUUUCAGCAGAUUAGAGUAUAUCAACUACCCUAAAACCUAUUUAUGCAUUUAUUUCAACAAAAUAAACUCAAAACAGUGCCCAGAUUCUAGUUUUAAGCAAAUGAGCGUCUCAACUUCCUCCACCCGUUUUUGUAUUGAUUUACCCAUAUUUUUACGAAAUCCCUAUGCCCAGAACAUUGUGGAAACGUUGGGGACGUAAGGGAAGUGACCAUGCUACGUAUAGUAUACCAAUCUAGCAGCCUAGUUCAAAAUUUCAAAAUAACUACCCCAAAACCGAUUCUAACCUAUUAAUUAGUAGCAUGCAGUUGUUGUUAGUUAAAUAAUGAAGUAAAGAGUGUAAGGAAUAAGAAAUGUACCUGAGUUUCGACGUUCGGGGGAGAGUGAUUUGGUAGAGUUUGGGAGAGUUUAGGGAAGUUUGGGAAGAAAUGGGAAAAUUAUGUCCCUUUUCCCCCUUUUUCUUUUGCCCGAUCUCCCAGCUCAGCGAGAGAUCCCCGCCACAGUGACCCCGCCUCAGCGGGAGGCUGUCGCUCUGGCGGGCCAGGCCAGGUAAUUUUAAAACCAUGUCAAUCUUUGUGUGUUGCAUCAGAGUUUCUUCUAGUACUUGAAUAUAGUACCUUUUCGUGUGUCAAUUAACUGAAAGGUCGCGAUUAAUCGUACUUUCUGUGGUGGAUCAAUUCGGUAUUUGGAAGUGUCAGAAAUUAGAGUGUGUGAUGUCCGUAGCCUAGUCGUUCGGGGAUGAACGAGGGGUAAAUUGGUAUCUAUUGUAACGACCCGAACCGUCGUUAAUUAGGACAAGCAAAGAUUCGAGAAAAUCUGGGCCACUAACCCGCCAGGGUGGGCCAGGUGCCACUGGGGCACCGCCGCAAGGCGGGGUAAGUUAGCGCUAGAGCGGGAUAAGCGAGGCAGAAUGUAAAUUUCAAAAAAUCCUUUUUUCUCCAUCUUUCUAAAAUACCUAAAUAAGUCGUAAAACACCCUAGAAACCUCAGAAAAGCUUCUUUAAGCUUGGGAAGGAGGGAGAAGGAGAUUUAUAGCGUGGGGAUGGUGAAAUCUUACGAAUUCUUGGCUAAAUUCACCGUCACGAACCCAGAAAACUCGAAUCGAAGUCAAAAACUCCAUACAACAGCUUGGCGCCCAGGUAGGCUAGGUUUAUACAAUUGAGUAGUUUUAAAUAUGUGCUUACUACGUGAUAUAUGUAAAUCAAUUGUAGGGUUGUGUGUAGACCUUUCUGCACCGAGUAAAUUACAUGAAUAAUCCUUCGAAUUCAAAUUAUGUGGGUUUAUGCCUUGUGAGGAGGAAUUGAUGAGUUGCUAGAAAAACCUAGAAUUGAUAUCGUGGAUAGAAUUGGGUCAAGAAUAAGGACAUGAAAUCAAGAGUGGAACUAGAUUCAUGAAUGUAUGCUACAUUCGAUAAUUGAAGUGAUGAAAUUGAGGUAUUAUGAUGAAUGGUGAUUAAAAGCUAAUGAGAAAUCCUAAUGAUGAACUAGGGUUGAGUAUGGUCAAUUAUUACAUAUGCGAUAGAGAUUGAGGAGUAAUUCGUAGGUGAUGGUUGUAAUUCUAUGAUUGUGUAUUGUAUGUUUGUUCUUGCUUCAUUAUGAUAUUUGUAUAUGUAUGAAUGUUGCAAUGUUGAUCACACUUGUUGUAAAUGAGAUAGAUGAAUUAUCGUUACCAUGAAAUUAGGAAUUAAAUGUAUGAUCUUGAUGAUGUACUGGUGUUUGUGAUUGUGGUGUGUGAAUGGGAUCGGAUUGCCACGUUCCGGCAUAACUAACUUCGAUCGGAUUGCCAAGUUCUGGCAUAUUAUGGGAUUGGAUUGCCACAUUCCUGCAUAAUAUGGGAUCAGAUUGCCACGUUCAGGCAUAAACAUGGGAUCGACUGCCACGUUCCGGCACACUAACUUGGGAUCGGUUGCCACGUUCUGGCAUGCUAACUGUUUGAGUUUGGAUUCCGUGAGAGGACCAAUGAUGUGAUAUAAAUGUGAAUUAUUCGUUGUUCGUGUACUUGUUGACAAUAUUGUAUACACUUGAUAUACGUUGUGAGUAAAGUAUUGUAUUGGUAAUUUGUAUAUGGUGUACUUAGUGGACCCGUGUUAUGACGAUUAUAGUUGGUUGUUCGUGGUUUGUAAUGGCGAGGGUAGAGAUAGUGAAUGCGAUGGAAAAUGCUUAGGUGGAUUUCACCUUGGGGAAAAGAGGUUGGUUUAGUGUUAAGAAAGCUUGAAUCAAGGUAUUAUGUGACUAUGGUUAGUAAUGUGACGAGGAAGUAAGGUAGGACGUGUACGGUUAGUUGACUUGGUGGUGUUUGUACUUCGGAAAUUUCUUAUGUGUUUAGAAUGGUUAAGCUAUGAUCAAGAAUCUGGUAAGUGGGUUGAUUAAAAAGGGGUUAGUAGUUAGAAUGCUAGUGUGAUUGGAGGUAUUUCAAUGAAAGGGGUGAAGGUGGAGAAGUGAGUGGUUUAUUCCAUGAUCUUACUAGUUGGUUUCUUAUGUUAUGUGGUGGGCGUCGGGUUGACCGUUGAUGCCUACCAGUACCUGUGUUUUGUGCUGAUACUACUCUUGCUAUGUCUUUUGAUAUAGUCUGGAUGCAGGAUUGGUGACCUUUCAUUAGGUGAAGACGAAGAAAAUCUCCAGCAGCUUCUAUUCUUCCUUCCGCAUGGUGGGAGCUGUGUCUUUUAUUUAUCCUAUCCAGUUGUACUUUUAGUAGCUCUUGUACCUAUUUAGACUAGAUCCAUUGUGAGUUGUUUAAAUUACCUUGCAGUUUAACUAAUAGUGUGCCUAAAAGCGUUAUUUAUAAAAUUAUAGUGUUAUAUUUAUUUCUGUUUUCUUAAAAUUUUCGCAUGUUUUUACUAUUGGGAUAUGAGGGUUCUCUUACUUAGGUGUUAGAGUGGGUGUCCGCAUGGCCCGAUGGGUUGGGUCGUGACAGUUGCUAUUCUUUUGGAUCCUCCUGUGUAAGCCAUUAUUUGUGUAGCUCUACUGAUUUUAUUUGCUCGACUACGCUUCUAGAAUGAGAAAACAAAGCAUCAGUUCUUACUAGUACAACAUAUUACUUAAGUUCUUUGAAAAAAACAGUGAAAGAACUAUGUAAAAAGAAUGUAAUAUCGAAAGCACAACUUGAGACUGGCUGCACAAAACAAACUAUACACUAGGGACAAAUUGUUGAAAUGGGAAUGUUUGUUGAUCCUAGUUGUCCUCUGUGUUGUUAUGGCUAAUGAGAGUCUCUCUCAUCUUUUCUGUGCUUGUACUGUCUCUGCUCGUAUAUGGCAGAAACUACUCACCGAGUAUUGAAUCCCAGUGAAGCUACUUACCUAUUUUGUACUCCACGAGGUAGUUAUCUCUGAUGCUAUGAGGUUAGAGAUAACUAUUUUAUAAAGUAAUAGAAAAUAGAUGCAUGCAGUAGCAGCAUUCUAGCACAAAUAGAAGCAAUGGCAGCAUUCUAACAGUAAAUUUGUAUUACGAAAAAAACAAUUAUAAAGUAGUGUAACUAUUUAGGAGUUCAAAACAUAUUUUGGAAAUAAAAAUACAAAGUUACAGGAGAUUUAUAAUAUAGGUUCUACUAAUCAAGAAAUGUACUCACUAACCUUCGCUUUUUCAAAAAGUCAAUACGAGACAAGAGGGUUCCAUUGAUCCCUUGGUAUGUGACUUGGUCUAUUUUUCAUCAAGGCAUCUUUGGUCUUAUAUUUGGUCACAUACAAAGCCUUCAAGUCACUUUUAUAGUCUCUCCAUUUUUUUCCUAUCGACUUCUUCACAAACUCUUCUCCACAUAUCGGAAUGGAGAACUUUUUCUGAAAAGAUAGACAAAAGUUAACAAGAUAAGAUCAUGUAUAAAAAGAAAUGAUACUUAGCUUGUUAACAAUAAUAAUUUUAUACCUUCACAAACUCCACCAACUUUGUCUUUUCUUCGUCGUCAAAUACUCGCCAAUCAUUUAGAGAGGAAAAUAUAACAACUCACUACUACUUGUAUCCACAAUUAACAAGCAGAUGUAUGAUUUUUCAUAUUUCUGGUAAGAGGUUGAUAGAGAGCCUAAGAAAAUUAAGAGGAGAGCUCUCUACGUUCUUGGGGAUGUAUGCAACUAUCAAAUGAUGGAAUAUAAUCCUAGAUUCAACUAGUACUAGAUACAUUGUCAUGUAAUUAGAUCUUAUUAUGGAGAUAAUCUAUAAAUUUAAGUUUCAAGAAACAACAUGGCUCAUUGUUCAGCUCAACAACAGUGUCAAUAGAAUUGUUAUCCUCAGAUAUUUGGGCUUGAGAGAAGCUCCGAGCUUUUAUUAAUUGUUGAAUGUAUGGUCGUACUUCUUCAUCAUGACGUUUUUCGGUUACCAAUCUGCUACCAACUCUAUUUUGCAUUUUCGUUCUACUUAUCUAUUCUCUUCAAACCUGUGGAAGAAAGUCAAGAAUGCAGAUUUGAAGAAAAGAUUCAGGGAACAAACACCAUCCUUAAUCAAAUUAGAACUCAGAAAACUCUCCAUGACAAAUUCAAGUGUUAUAUGAUGGCAUAAUGCUCUGGACUGUUUCUUACAACCAAGUGCUCUUGUUAUGUGUUCAAACAUUUUAUAAGAAACCAUUUGCUUUAUUUAAUAGGGAAAUUUUUUCGCUCCAUAUAAGAAGUUAUUAACUUAGAAAUAGUGUCCUAACAUUAAUCCUCUCAUACCUACUAUUUCUUACAACCAAGUUCUCUUAUAACUAAAAUGAGAGAGAGAGAGAGAGAGAAAGUUCAAUCUCCAACCACAUUGAUAUAAGAAACGUAUAUAGACCAGAAUUUAGAAUUAAGUUUAGUAACUAACAAACUACUGCUUUCCAACUAAACCUUUCCAUAACUGUCAGUCACUCACACACAAAGGCCUUUACAAAACUAGCCCCUCUCAUGUCAACUAAUCAAAAACGAUUAAUUUUUUUAUGACCAUGGUGUCUGAGCCAGCUUUUGCACCUCGAUUAAUUCCACAAGAUACCUUCGAGUACAAAAAAUGGUCAGUUUUCCUCAUCAUCCAGUGUUACAGUAAAUUUGAUGAAUUUAGUUUAUUACAACAAGCAGAAUUUCUAGCUGUACAGAGCACCUUAUUGGGUUGAUUUAGGUUUGAUGUCAAAAUCCUACUAAAUGAGUUACAGUUGCAGCUUUUCGAAUCAAUAGAUAUGAAGGAAUCAAUCAUGAAUCAACAAUUUAAUAGUUAAUCAAAAGCUAGAAAACUGAGCCAGAUUAUAAGUUUCCCUACGGCUAUUCUGAAAGGGAAAACUUCUCCCAUAACAUCCUCAAGUUUCAAACAACAGUUUUUUCAGCAAUGUUUUCCUCAAAGUUAUACCACGCUAAUUAAUGAAAAUCAGAAGAAAACUAAAGAUAAAAAAGCAUAAUUAUAAGUUGAUAGCAUAUGCAUGUCAGCAUUCAUCAAAAUAACACUGAGAAAAGAAGGAUUACCAACUAGAAUGAGAUAUUGAGAGAUCGAGAAAAAGAGAUUACCGCUUAUUCUACCUCAAUUCGAGCAGAAAGAAAAAAAAUUGAUGCAUGCUUCAACUCAGAUCCAUCGUAGACAUGGAAGGAUGCAUCAAAUUAACUCAAUCUUCAGAUGGAAUGGAGAAGAUAGAUCGAGUAUUUUGAAAAUUUGAGAAUGAAAUAAAAUUUGACUAAGAGAAUGUUUG
RNAcentral lists this long non-coding RNA (8552 nucleotides) under Solanum tuberosum (potato). RNAcentral describes it as "long non-coding RNA (STUB_LNC004691)". The record is from RNAcentral. Lineage: Eukaryota; Viridiplantae; Streptophyta; Magnoliopsida; Solanales; Solanaceae.